Symphalangus syndactylus (siamang) is the source of this 2850-nucleotide long non-coding RNA. RefSeq lists it as uncharacterized. The record is from RefSeq and is a predicted model, not a curated record. NCBI's taxonomy places the organism in Eukaryota, Metazoa, Chordata, Mammalia, Primates, Hylobatidae.
UGGUGCCAUGGGCUAGGAACUCUUAGGGCUGGGAAACAAUCUUGGUUUCCCAACAGUCUAUAUCAUAUAGGUAAAAACUGUAAAAUACAUCACAGUGCAGAUGAAAUCUAACACUACCAGCUCAUUUUGUGCUGCUACGGGAGCAGUGAAUUAAAAUUAAGUCUUGUACUGGGGAUUGGGCCUUUUAUCAGGGCAACUGAGAUCAACUGUACAGAAAUUUUCAAAUUUCCCUUCUCAUCAGGCAAACAGAUGGACAAUGAAGCCGGUUCAGAGGCCCAACCAAGACAAUGAUGCACAGGGAAACUCCCUCGAGCCCCAGCUGUCACCUAGUACUUCGAAGACAUUGAGAGGCUUUCUCCAUGAUGUCAAGAUGCAUAGAAAUCUUAUCUGUAACAACAACAACAACAAAAAAUCUGCUUUUAAAAGCAUAAGAAAAACACUUUAGGGCCAGUCGCAAGUGGCUCACACCUGUAGUUCAGAACUUUGUGAGGCUAAGGCAGGAGGGUCGCUUGAGCCCAGCAGUUCAAGACCAGCCUCAGCAACGGAGCAAAACCUCAUCUCUAAAAAUCGUUAAAAUAGGACUGAUCUGAAUCGAAUCUAGUCUGUAGAUCUAACUGUCAGUUUGCAGGAAAUACAAGGAUAAAAGAACAAAUUUAACACCACAAGGUAGCAAUCAGACAAAUCCAGAAGGUUGGACACUAUAUAGGACAAUUGAUCCAGGAGCUGAGAAUAACCACGUGGUGCUGGGGAGGAACUGUUCAAGAUUAAGCGAGAAAGAGAAGACCCCACAGGAAACAUAAUAUGUGGACUUCAGCAGUGUAAACAAGCUCUCUGUAAACAGAUAAUUUUGAGGCAACUGUAAAAUUAUGAAUAUGGACUGGGAAUGAAACACACUAAGAAAUAACUGUUGCCGGGUGCAGUGGCUCAUGCCUGUAAUCCCAGCACUCUGGGAUGCUGAAGUAGGCAGAUCGCUUGAGCCCAGGAGUUCAAGCCCAGUUUGGCCAACAUGGUGAAACCCCAUCUCUAUUAAAAAUACAAAAAUCAGCCAGGUGUGGUAGUGGGCACCUCUAAUCCCAGCUACUCAGGAGGCUGAGGCAGAAGAAUUGCUUGAACCCAGAGGCGGAGGUUGCAGUGAGCCGAGAUCGCACUACUGAACUACUGCACUCCAGCCUGGGUGACUGAGACUCCAUCUCAGAAAAAAAAAAAAAGAAAAAGAAAAAAAAAAAAAGCUUUGCAAGUAUCAUUUUUCAAAAAUAGAUUCUUAAAAACAUCAGUCAUCAUUGUAAAGUUCUUAGCAGGUUAAGAGGUACUUUAUAAUAAUGAGUUUAUUAUCCAUUAGUCUCAUACUUCAGCAAUUAUUAGCACACCAAAGUGUAAUUUUACUAUGACUGUCCUUUUAAUUACUAGUGACACUGUACUCCUAACAGUGCAGUUUGUGAACAACUGUGCUAAGUGCUAAGAGCAAAUAUGCUGAGGGAAUUGCUAGUAUAUUGGCACUACCAGGGUUGCUGCUUAAAAUUUAUGGAGUGGUAUUAGAAUUAACUGUGUGGUAUUUUUCAGAAUGCAUGUUGCCUGGUGUGCAAGGAAAAUGGUGUGGAUUGUUCAUUCAUCAGCAGGAGAAUGUAACAUGCAUACAUUGGAUGCAACAGCAAAGGCAGAAGGCAUCUUUAAAAAUUCUGAAUUUGCCCUUUCACUAAAGACAGAUUUAUUUCUUUAAAAAAGUACCUCUGGAAUAACGUUAAAUUAUAAAAUGUGGCUCAACUUUUCAAAUACUUACCUAAUUAAUACACAUAGUUAGAUCAAGCCAAAGGGCAUAUUCUAAUAAUAUAACUCAAUAAAGCAACUUGAUAUGACUUCUUCUCUUCAAGUCCACAUAAGUUUUAAGAAAUCCUACACCAGCAGUUCUUCUUCUCCCAUUUCUAAUUAUUUAACAUGUUAGGUCAGAAGCAAAUUGUUUUACCUUAAGAGUUUCAAGUGUACCAUCUUCUUUGGCAAGGACGCUGCCAGUGAUUCCUAAAAUGCUGACGACAUUCACUCUAACCCCGACAUUACUACUAUGAAUGCCUGCUUUGCAUAAUGUCAUCAGCUGAUCAGGAGUCAUGCACUGUUGAAAGAGAAGAGGACGGUAUUUAUAAUGUUAAACUCAAUUAAUUCUAUCAGCAUGCAAAAACUGGACUGACAGGAAUCUCCUCUAUAGGCUACAGGAUUUUAAGAGUGACAUAAACUCCUGGCAGCUCUAGACCUAGCUCCCGGCUCACAGGAAACAUGGGGGACAGAGGAAUGCUGAACGAUGCCAUCAUGAUGAGUUGGCCAAAUCUGUCAGUGCGGAAAACGCUACGGAACAAAAUGAGAGUUUCUUCAAUGGCCAUCCUGUUAUGAGGAAGCCCGCAUCACAUGAAGAGGUCACCGCGGGUGUUCUUCCUGACAACCCCUGCACCAACUGCCAGACACGUGAGUGAACAAGACUUCAGACGAUUCCAGCCCACACUGCAAGUUUUCCAGCAGAGGCCCUACACUAGUAUUUCUCAGCCUCUGCACUACUGACAUUUUGGACCAGGUAAUUCUUCAUUUUGUGUGUGCGCAGGGGUCUCCUGGGCACUGUAGCAUGUGAAGGAACAUUCCUGGCCUCAACCCUCUAGAUACCAGUUGCAAUUUCCAAGUUGUAAAACCAAAAAUACCUCCAGACGUUGCCAAAUGUCCCCAGGUGGGAGGUGGGAGGGGAUAAGUGGCCAUGGUUGAGAACCACUGGCCUAGACAUUGUGGAAUAGGAAAAAGCCAUCUCCACUGUGCCCUGUCUAAAUUCUUGACCAAAGGAAACUUUGACAAAUAAUAAAUGAUUGUUGUUGUUAA